This 1195-nucleotide ribosomal RNA is filed under the name Haemaphysalis formosensis. Its description in RNAcentral is "16S ribosomal RNA". The stretch from base 933 to 1091 matches the Rfam family "Archaeal large subunit ribosomal RNA", at positions 2542 to 2701 of the family's 2987-position model. The record is from RNAcentral. Lineage: Eukaryota; Metazoa; Arthropoda; Arachnida; Ixodida; Ixodidae.
UAAAAAGUUACUUUAUUUUUAUAUAAAUUUAUAUUAAAAAUAUUUUUUAUUUAAAUGUUGUUUUAUUUAAACUGUAAAGGAUUAUUUAUUUAAAGAAAAAGUAAUUUUUUGUACCUUUAGCAUAAGGGAUUUUUAAAAAUAAAUAAAAAUUUAUUUAUUUCGAAGUUAACUGAUCUAUUAUAUAUAUAAAUAAUUUAUAUUUCAUAAUAAAUUAUUAAUAUUUAAUAGAAGUGAAAUUCUUAUCAAAGUUAAUGAUAUCUAAUUGUUUUUUUAAAAAUAAAAUUUUUCUUAUAAUAAUAACUAUUUAUUAUAAUUAUAAGUAAUUAUAUAAGGGAUAAGCUUUAUAUAAAUUUAUAUUUAAUUACAUUCAAUUCUGAAUAAGAAUUAAAAUUUUUCUUAUAUUGUUAUAAAUAAUUUUUAAUUAUUAUAGAUCAAAAAUAAUUGAUUUUUAUUUUUAAGAAUUUUUUUAAAAAAUAAAUAUGAGAAUAUUAGUAUAAUAAAAUCUAUAAGUAAAAAUUAAACUGAAAUAUAUUCAGAAAAAUAAAUUCUAGAAAUUCGGCAAAAAUUUUUUUUGACUGUUUAAUAAAAACAAUGUAUUUAGAAGUUUAAUUAAAUAUAAAUCCUGCUCAAUGAAAUAUUAAAUUGCUGUAGUAUUUUGACUAUACAAAGGUAUUGUAAUAAGACUUUAAUUGAGUGCUAAAAGAAUGGACUUUCAAAAAAAUACUAUCUUGAAUUUAAAAAUUGAAUUUAUUUUUAUUUGUGAAGAAACAAUAAUUAGAAUUAAGGACAAGAAGACCCUAAGAAUUUUUAAAUUAUUUAUAUAUUGUUAUAUGUAUAAUUAAUUUUUAAUUGGGGCGAUUAUAAAAUAUAAUUAACUUUGAAUUUUAAAAAAUGAUCCAUUAUUAAUGAUUAAAUGUAAAAAAUACUCUAGGGAUAACAGCGUAAUAAUUUUAGAUAGCUCUUAUAGAAAAAAUAGUUUGCGACCUCGAUGUUGGAUUAGGAUACUUUCUUAAUGAAGAAGUUAAGAUAAGAAGUUUGUUCAACUUUUAAAAUCCUACAUGAUCUGAGUUUAGACCGAUGUGAAUCAGGUUGGUUUCUAUCUUAAUUAAGAUUAAAUUCUUUAAUUAGUACGAAAGGAAUUUUAAAGAAAAAUUAUUUUAUUAAUACAUCAGUUUUUGCAUCAAUUUUUGGAAUU